This 229-nucleotide unclassified non-coding RNA is filed under the name plant metagenome. RNAcentral describes it as "partial contains small subunit ribosomal RNA, internal transcribed spacer 1, and 5.8S ribosomal RNA". The record is from RNAcentral.
CCUCCGUAGGUGAACCUGCGGAGGGAUCAUUACAGAGUUCUCGCCCUCGCGGGUAGAUCUCCCACCCACUGUUAUCGUUACUGUGUUGCUUUGGCGGGCCGCCGGGCCCCGCUCGGCCGCCGGCUCCGGCUGGCGCGCGCCCGCCAGAGGCCCAGCAAACUCUGAAUGUUAGUGUCGUCUGAGUACUAUAUAAUAGUUAAAACUUUCAACAACGGAUCUCUUGGUUCUG